CAGUAGCCGCGUAAUACGUAGGUGGCAAGCGUUGUCCGGAAUUAUUGGGCGUAAAGGGCUCGCAGGCGGUUUCUUAAGUCUGAUGUGAAAGCCCCCGGCUCAACCGGGGAGGGUCAUUGGAAACUGGGAAACUUGAGUGCAGAAGAGGAGAGUGGAAUUCCACGUGUAGCGGUGAAAUGCGUAGAGAUGUGGAGGAACACCAGUGGCGAAGGCGACUCUCUGGUCUGUAACUGACGCUGAGGAGCGAAAGCGUGGGAGCGAACAGGAUUAGAUACCCCAGUAGUCCCUGUCUCUUAUACAC
Molecule: ribosomal RNA, 301 nt
Filed under: uncultured bacterium
Lineage: Bacteria
Description: partial 16S ribosomal RNA
Rfam family: Bacterial small subunit ribosomal RNA
Source: RNAcentral